This 224-nucleotide long non-coding RNA is filed under the name Homo sapiens (human). Its description in RNAcentral is "LNC_000823". Lineage: Eukaryota; Metazoa; Chordata; Mammalia; Primates; Hominidae. The record is from RNAcentral.
CUCCUAUGUCCAUGGGUGCAAUGUCAAUGAUGGGGAGGCGUGAGGUCUUCUGUGACCGGUACUCGAUAACAGUCUUGCCCCACUUACCGGUAUGUUUCGUGCAGCCAUCCUUCAGGGCAGUGUACGUGAACCUGCUAUUGCCCUCUGCCCGGAUCUCCACGUCAUUGGAGCCCUGGAUGAGCAGGGCCUUCUUGAGGUUGCCAGCUGCUUCGUCCAGAUAGGCA